GACGAACGCUGGCGGCGUGCCUAAUACAUGCAAGUUGAGCGCUGAAGGUUGGUACUUGUACCGACUGGAUGAGCAGCGAACGGGUGAGUAACGCGUGGGGAAUCUGCCUUUGAGCGGGGGACAACAUUUGGAAACGAAUGCUAAUACCGCAUAAAAACUUUAAACACAAGUUUUAAGUUUGAAAGAUGCAAUUGCAUCACUCAAAGAUGAUCCCGCGUUGUAUUAGCUAGUUGGUGAGGUAAAGGCUCACCAAGGCGAUGAUACAUAGCCGACCUGAGAGGGUGAUUGGCCACAUUGGGACUGAGACACGGCCCAAACUCCUACGGGAGGCAGCAGUAGGGAAUCUUCGGCAAUGGACGAAAGUCUGACCGAGCAACGCCGCGUGAGUGAAGAAGGUUUUCGGAUCGUAAAACUCUGUUGGUAGAGAAGAACGUUGGUGAGAGUGGAAAGCUCAUCAAGUGACGGUAACUACCCAGAAAGGGACGGCUAACUACGUG
Molecule: ribosomal RNA, 497 nt
Filed under: uncultured bacterium
Lineage: Bacteria
Description: partial 16S ribosomal RNA
Rfam family: Bacterial small subunit ribosomal RNA
Source: RNAcentral